RNAcentral lists this ribosomal RNA (462 nucleotides) under uncultured bacterium. RNAcentral describes it as "partial 16S ribosomal RNA". It matches the Rfam family "Bacterial small subunit ribosomal RNA", at positions 28 to 507 of the family's 1533-position model. The record is from RNAcentral.
GACGAACGCUGGCGGCGUGCUUAACACAUGCCAGUCGAACGGUAAGGCCUUUCGGGGUCCACGAGUGGCGAACGGGUGAGUAACACGUGGGUGAUCUGCCCUGCACUUCGGGAUAAGCCCGGGAAACUGGGUCUAAUACCGGAUAGGACUGCGCGGUGCAUGCCGUGUGGUGGAAAGAUUUAUCGGUGCAGGAUGGGCCCGCGGCCUAUCAGCUUGUUGGUGGGGUAAUGGCCUACCAAAGCGACGACGGGUAGCCGGCCUGAGAGGGCGACCGGCCACACUGGGACUGAGACACGGCCCAGACUCCUACGGGAGGCAGCAGUGGGGAAUAUUGCACAAUGGGCGCAAGCCUGAUGCAGCGACGCCGCGUGAGGGAUGACGGCCUUCGGGUUGUAAACCUCUUUCAGCAGGGACGAAGCGUGAGUGACGGUACCUGCAGAAGAAGCACCGGCCAACUACGUG